This 627-nucleotide ribosomal RNA is filed under the name uncultured delta proteobacterium. RNAcentral describes it as "bacterial SSU rRNA". It matches the Rfam family "Bacterial small subunit ribosomal RNA", at positions 9 to 651 of the family's 1533-position model. Lineage: Bacteria; Deltaproteobacteria. The record is from RNAcentral.
GAGUUUGAUCCUGGCUCAGGACAAACGCUGGUGGUGUGCCUAAUACAUGCAAGUCGAACGAGAAAGUCCCUUCGGGGGCGAGUAAAGUGGCGAACGGGUGAGUAACGCGUAGAUAACAUACCUUCAGGUGGGGGAUAGCCAGUCGAAAGAUUGGAUAAUACCGCAUAUGACCACAGUAUCUGUGGAUACAGGGGUAAAAGAUUUAUCGCCUAAAGAUUGGUCUGCGUCCGAUUAGCUUGUUGGUGGGGUAAAAGCCUACCAAGGCUGUGAUCGGUAGCUGGUCUGAGAGGAUGAUCAGCCACAUUGGGACUGAGACACGGCCCAAACUCCUACGGGAGGCAGCAGUAGGGAAUCUUGCGCAAUGGGGGAAACCCUGACGCAGCGACACCACAUGAGUGAUGAAGGCUCUAGGGUUGUAAAGCUCUGUUCUUGACGAACAAACAAAUGAUUAGUCAAGGAGAAAGGACCGGCUAACUUCGUGCCAGCAGCUGCGGUAAGACGAGGGGUCCAAGCGUUGUCCGGAAUUAUUGGGCGUAAAGCGGGUGUAGGCGGUUUUGCAAGUCAGAAGUGAAAGCCUCAGGGCUCAACCUGAGAAAGUGCUUUUGAUACUGCAUAACUUGAGUUUGG